AACACAAGAGGAAGUCAACAUUAACAAAGGAAAGCAUAGCUGACUUUGGCAGCCAAGUGUUCAUAGCGACGUUGCUUUUUGAUCCUUCGAUGUCGGCUCUUUCUAUCCUACUGAAGCAGAAUUCAGUAAGCGUUGGAUUGUUCUCCCACUAAUAGGGAACGUGAGCUGGGUUUAGACUGUCGUGAGACAGGUUAGUUUUACCCUACUGAUGAAAUGUUGUUGCAAUGGUAAUUGAACUUAGUACGAGAGGAACCGUUCAAUGACCCGAAGCUAUCAUCCGUUGGGUUAUGGCUGAAUGCAACGAUCUGACAGAACUCGGAAAGGUGUGUAUGCUUUUUGA
Molecule: non-coding RNA, 340 nt
Filed under: Linnemannia elongata AG-77
Lineage: Eukaryota; Fungi; Mortierellomycota; Mortierellomycetes; Mortierellales; Mortierellaceae
Description: Mortierella elongata AG-77 Eukaryotic large subunit ribosomal RNA
Rfam family: Eukaryotic large subunit ribosomal RNA
Source: Rfam by way of RNAcentral